Molecule: small nuclear RNA, 146 nt
Organism: Trifolium pratense (red clover)
Lineage: Eukaryota; Viridiplantae; Streptophyta; Magnoliopsida; Fabales; Fabaceae
Product: U4 spliceosomal RNA
Exons: 1
Source: RefSeq, a predicted model, not a curated record
UCCCACAUUCAAAGAACGACAAGUGGUGAGGUACUAACCAAGGCGCGUCUAUUGCUGGUUGAAAACUAUUUCCAAACCCUCUCUUAGGCUUGGGGUCUCUUCAAGCCUUCGAGAAUUUCUGGAAGGACUCCCUUUGGGGUAAAGUC